RNAcentral lists this non-coding RNA (21 nucleotides) under Arabidopsis thaliana (thale cress). The record is from RNAcentral. Lineage: Eukaryota; Viridiplantae; Streptophyta; Magnoliopsida; Brassicales; Brassicaceae.
AACUACAUUCGGACACUCUGU